RNAcentral lists this ribosomal RNA (253 nucleotides) under uncultured Eubacteriales bacterium. RNAcentral describes it as "uncultured Clostridiales bacterium partial 16S ribosomal RNA". It matches the Rfam family "Bacterial small subunit ribosomal RNA", at positions 524 to 776 of the family's 1533-position model. The record is from RNAcentral. Lineage: Bacteria; Bacillati; Bacillota; Clostridia; Eubacteriales.
UACGUAGGUGGCAAGCGUUGUCCGGAUUUACUGGGUGUAAAGGGCGUGCAGCCGGGAGUGCAAGUCUGGAGUGAAAUCCCAUGGCUUAACCAUGGAACUGCUUUGGAAACUGUGCAGCUGGAGUGCAGGAGAGGUAAGCGGAAUUCCUAGUGUAGCGGUGAAAUGCGUAGAUAUUAGGAGGAACACCAGUGGCGAAGGCGGCUUACUGGACUGUAACUGACGUUGAGGCUCGAAAGCGUGGGGAGCAAACAGG